RNAcentral lists this ribosomal RNA (489 nucleotides) under uncultured bacterium. RNAcentral describes it as "partial 16S ribosomal RNA". It matches the Rfam family "Bacterial small subunit ribosomal RNA", at positions 30 to 507 of the family's 1533-position model. The record is from RNAcentral.
UUGCACGCUGGCGGCAGGCCUAACACAUGCCAGUCGAACGGUAACAGGAAACAGCUUGCUGUUUCGCUGACGAGUGGCGGACGGGUGAGUAAUGUCUGGGAAACUGCCUGAUGGAGGGGGAUAACUACUGGAAACGGUAGCUAAUACCGCAUAACGUCGCAAGACCAAAGAGGGGGACCCUCGGGCCUCUUGCCAUCGGAUGUGCCCAGAUGGGAUUAGCUUGUUGGUGGGGUAACGGCUCACCAAGGCGACGAUCCCUAGCUGGUCUGAGAGGAUGACCAGCCACACUGGAACUGAGACACGGUCCAGACUCCUACGGGAGGCAGCAGUGGGGAAUAUUGCACAAUGGGCGCAAGCCUGAUGCAGCCAUGCCGCGUGUAUGAAGAAGGCCUUCGGGUUGUAAAGUACUUUCAGCGGGGAGGAAGGGAGUAAAGUUAAUACCUUUGCUCAUUGACGUUACCCGCAGAAGAAGCACCGGCUAACUCCGUG